This is a non-coding RNA of Monodelphis domestica (gray short-tailed opossum), 3634 nucleotides long. Lineage: Eukaryota; Metazoa; Chordata; Mammalia; Didelphimorphia; Didelphidae. The record is from RefSeq and is a predicted model, not a curated record.
AUGGGUACGAGAGAAUAAAGGAGAACUUGGAAUGUUAUUCCUGUCCUCAGAGCCGGGCUCUAAGUAGGGGGCUAAUUUGGGAGCUCAAGAGAGUCCAGGAAGGUUGUGGACGGGAGCAAUGAUCUGGGGUGUACUUGAGGGAGAUUACAGAGAACGAAGUGGGGCAGCCGGGUGGCGCAGAGGAUAGCGUCUAGACUGGAGUUGGGAGAAUCGGGGCUCAAAUCUGAUCUCUCUUCCUAGCUGCCUGACGCUGGGAACGUCACUUAGCCCCAGUUGGACUUUGCUGCUCUUUGAAACUAAGAUAAGUAAGGGUGUGGUGGGGGUAAAGAGGGAGAGAAGGAGAUGAAGAGGAGAGAAGGGAGGGAGGACACACACCUACACACAGCCAGAGACUGAGACCGAGAAGGAGAAAGGGGAGAGGGAGACAGACAGACACAGAGCCAGAAACAGAGAGAAAGGGGCAGGGGGAGACAGAGACAUAGAGAGAGAAGCAGGGGGGAGAGACACACAGACAGACAGACAGACAGACAGAGGCAGAGAUUGAGGAGAAAGGGGUGAGGGGGAGAGAGAGGGACAGAGAAAAAGGGGUGGGGGAGAGAGAGAAAAGGAGACGGGGGGAGACAGAAAGAGAGACAGAGACUGAGAAGGAAAAAGAGGUGAGGGAGGGGGGUGAAGGGAAGGAGGGAUGUAGAGAAAGAGACAGACAGUGACAGAGACACAGAAAGAGAAAGCAAGAGGGAAAGAGGAGCUAGAGAGGGAGAGCAAGACUAGAGAGACAGAGACAGAGAGAGGAAAAAAAAACAGGAGGAAGACAUGGGCAGCGGGCAGAGGGCUCCUAGAAAAUCUCAGCAAAGACGUAAUUGGGGGGUGGAGGGGGUGGGAGGAGGGUUUUGCAAAGGAUGGACAAAUGGAAGACUCAUGAGGAAAGCAAAUUUUGCCUGACUCAGGAACUGAUUGCCUAGUAGGGGGGAUGUGUGAGAGAAAAGGAUGAACUGAAGAUGGUAUGAGGUUUCAGUGCCUGAGUGAUGGGGAAAUGAUGAAGCUAUCAACGGAAAUGGGGAAAGCAGGAAAGAAUUCUCUUUUAGCUAGGUUAAUUUUGGUUAGGUAAAUAAUUCUCUUUUCAAAGGAGCUGCUCAGCAGAGCACUGAAAAGGUAGGUUGGCACCAGUGGGAAAAUGGUUAAACAAAUGGUGGCAUAUGAAUAUUAGGAAUAUUAUUGUAAGAAAUCAUAACUUAACGCUGUGAACCUCUAAUGGCCAAGUAUGGCCUCAAAGAAGAGCUAAGAGCACGCACUUCUCCUAGCUUCUUGGAAGAGGUGGGGCACUGUGAAGUGAAGACUGACUACGUUGUUAUACUUUUUUGACAUUUUGGUUAGUUUUGCUGAACCAUUUCCUCCCACCCCAGUCCUUUAAAAUCUUUGAGUUGUUUUUUUUUUUAAUUAAAAUCUUUCUUGAUGGCCAUCUGGGAGAGAGGAGGAGAGAUUUUUUUCUUUUUGAAAAUGCAGGUGUUGUGAAAACAAAAGCUAUAAUUAAAAUUUAUUUUAAAAAAAGAAAAGACGUGGGUUUGGGACAGAGCAGAUUCGGCCUGGGAAUCAUCCUAACUGACUGAAGAUAAUGAUAUCACCAAGCGGUCCAGUGUGCAGGGAGAGGAGGGCCAAGGACAGUCUCAGCUCAAACACGCUACACCGCACGUAGCUCGUGACUAUUGCAUAAAUGAAUGAAAACAAGAGUCAGAGGAAAACCAAGAUGCUGUCAUGUCAGAGAAGCUAGGGGAGGAGAAAUGAAUUUGGAAAGGAGCGGGCAUCUAAUAUCGAGACAUGGAUUGCAUGGGACAACGAGACUAACUGGCAUAUGGCUCUACAGCUGUUGGGGAAAUUGAGCAAACAGAAAUGAAGUGACUUGUCUGAAGUCACUUAACUAAUGAGUGUCUAAGUCUGAUGGAAUUCAUCUCUUCUUGGUUCAGGAUCCAGCAUUCUUAUCUAUCAUCUGUGCCACCUUGCUUCCUAUCUAUGUCAUAAAUGGCAACUUUCAAAACAAGAACAUUUGAUUAACCAGAAUAGUAUAUUCCUUGACCAAAUCACAGAGUAGAAUUUUUAAAAAAAUUCAACCAAUUUCAGUUGUGUUCAACCCUUUGGUGACCCCCACUUGGGUUUUUUGUUGUUGCUGUUGUUGUUUGUCGAAGAUACUGGAAUGGUUUGUUAUUUCCUCCUCUAGCUCAUUUUAGAAAUGAAGACAGAGAAACAAGGUUACGUGACUUGCCCAGUAUCACACAGCUAGUGAGUGUCUUAUACCAGAUUUGAACUUGGGAAGAUGAAUCUUUCUGACUCUAGACCUGGCACUCUAUCCACUGUGCCACCUAGAAAAUGUCUUGACUAUUAAAUCAAACACAGUUUUUCAGAAAGACCUCCCUCGAAUUUGGGGAGCCAUUUACCAAUCACUCAAAUCUGCCAUGACAGUUAUUUUUGGUUUGAGAGAAUCAACUUUCCAACCAAGGAGGACUCACCCUGUUGCUACUGUUUUUCAAAAUCAUCAUUAAAACCAAGAUUUGUCACAUUUUCUAAUGAUUUAAUACUGGUUUUCCUACCUGUUCCUUACAUAGAUUCUUUUGGAAGAUUUGAGAAACUUCAGAAAAAAAAUCACACAGGAGGAGAGGAAAGAUUUCAGGUUCUUGGAAAAAGUACUCAUUGAUCAAAUCAAGUGGUAUCCAUUAAAGUGUAAUUCUAGACAUCAAUCUUUUUAAAAAUAUUUCCACACUUACUAAUUUGUGGAAGUUUUAAAAGUCAUUAGACUUUAAGCUCCUUGAGGGCAGGCAUUCUUUUUUUUUUUAUUUGAAUCUCCAGUAUUGUUUACUGUUUACUGAUUGUGUUGGCAAAUGGACAGAUUUCAAAAUAAAGAGCACCAACCCACAAAAUUAAGUUUACAUAAUACAGGAUGCAGGCAGCUAGAUGGUGCAGGGGAUAGAAUGUUGGACCUGGAAAACUGAUUUUUAUGAGUUCAAAUCCAGGCUCAGACACUUCUAUAGCUGUCUGAAACAUGGGCAAGUCACUAAACUCUGUUGGUCUCAGUUUCCCCAUAUGUAAAAUGAGCUGGAGAAGAGAAAUGGCAAACCACUCCAAUAUCUUUGCCAAGAAAAUCCCAAAUGGGGACCCAAAGAAUCAGAUGUGACAAAAAUGACUCCCCAACAAUAACAUGGAAUAAUCCAGAUGUGAAUCAGUUGGUCCAGAUGCCACAAUCAUUGGAAACUUAGUUCAUUCCUCCUUUGACUUCUAUUAAAUAAAGGUUCAUAAAAAAUUAAGCCCCUUCCCCAUUUCUGCCACUUAGUAUACCGAGAGCUUUUAGUUAUUUUUCUAAUAGAGACAAUUGACCACAUUCCUGGUUGUCACUUUCUUGGCAACGAAAAAUGGUAAUUGGAGGAACUGCUCUAAUAGCAUUAGACUGAGUUUAAAGUUUGCUUUAAGUUUUACCUUGCUAACAUAAUAUUGGAGGUUGGAUUGCUGGUGCCUGGUCCUGUUGGACUCCAUUUGAUGGUAUAGAUUUCUUUGCUGUGGGCCUGGAGAUCGUGGACACAUGUAUCUUGUUUCAUACUCCAAAUCUGUGUCAUGCAAAUAAAGAAAAAUAAAAAUCUCUGUAAGCUCC